AUGGAAAAGAGAAGGAGCCCGAACAGCUUAUCGGAAGAGAUGCUGUGGCUGACACCCACCAAGUCACGUCUUGGAGGUGGUUGGACUCGGACUAGGAAGGUCUCAAGCCCACAUCCAUCACAAGUUAUCUUGGACCAUCCACCUGCCUCUGGCCACCUCCAUUUGGCCUGCCUGGGCCAUCCCGCAUGGGGAUGCUCCGAUGCCAAAGGCCGGACCCUUCUUUGUGGUUUCACACCAUUACUUGUUGGCUUUGAAGUAGAAAAUGAGGUGAUUUGCAGCCCCAGUGCUCAGCUCAGCAUGGCCCAGCAGCAGCUGACGUUUAUCCAAGAUUAUUUAUUGCAGCUCUUCCAGUGGUGAUCGUGGAAGCAACGUCUCCUACUGGAGAGGAAUACACACUAAUACUCAGCUGAGCUUCCUCCAGAGCUGCAUUAAUCAACCAGCCGAGCAACCCGGUGAGGGCGGAAAUGAGAUCCCUCAGUGGCAAAGCAGGGCAGAAAGCGCGCCAGGGUGGGCCAAGGAGGGCUGGACUCAGGAUCAAAUUCGGAGACCCCAGACGCGCCCCUGGCGUCACAUCUCCUGCAACGUGUAAUGUCUGCAUUUAUAUGUUAGUGCAUGUCUAAAACACAAGGUCUCGCACCAAGGGAAUUGCUCCGAAUGUCUCCUCUGAACCUACAGAGGUAUCCAGAGACGGGACCUGAUUGCGGAGUCGCGGCUUUGUCUGAAAUGUGGCGUGGAAGCAGUAAAUGCUCUUUAUUUCUGCAGAGACUUCAAAAGCUCUGAUGACACCUUGUCAGCUUCAGCCUCUCCUUACCGCGUAUCUAUUUGCACUGGCGCUGCUAGAUAAAAAAUCGGGGCACUCGUAACUAGAGUUACGAGCUGCAAAAGCCGGGCAGAACUGACGGGUGGAAAAGGCACCCGGCUGCUUUGCAGGCUGCAGGAACAAGACUGAGGAGCCACAGCUCAACUGACAGAGGCCAUAAAAAUUUGUAAAGAACAAAGCAUUCCUCCAAAUAGUUACUUGGGGAAGCUCUGUUUCUCAAAAUAUCCGUGCAUCUUGGGCUUCGGAGAUGUGGGGCUAGUGGUUCCCCGUGCUUUCACACCGAGAACGCCCCGAGCAGCCACCCCACGGGGGGAGCCCCAAAAGCUGAUGUUCACCUCUCCCUUUCUGAAAUCUCAGAUACGGAUGGUCUAAAGCUGGGUCUGAAACCCCAUGGGGCUUCCUGCCUGCUAAAUUUAGCUUAGGGCCUCAUUCUGCUGGGUCGUGGACCAGCGUCUGAACGUCCCUCCUGUAAGAUGCUUUAAAAUAAAGAGGUGAGCCGGA
RNAcentral lists this long non-coding RNA (1321 nucleotides) under Struthio camelus australis. Its description in RNAcentral is "lncRNA (ENSSCUG00000004768.1)". The record is from RNAcentral. Lineage: Eukaryota; Metazoa; Chordata; Aves; Struthioniformes; Struthionidae.